UAUAACCUACGGGGGGCAGCAGUAGGGAAUAUUGCUCAAUGGGGGAAACCCUGAAGCAGCAACGCCGCGUGGAGGAUGAAGGUUUUCGGAUUGUAAACUCCUUUUGUUAGAGAAGAUAAUGACGGUAUCUAGCGAAUAAGCACCGGCUAACUACGUGCCAGCAGCCGCGGUAAUACGUAGGGAGCAAGCGUUAUCCGGAUUUACUGGGUGUAAAGGGCGCGUAGGCGGGAUGGCAAGUCAGAUGUGAAAUCCAGGGGCUCAACCCCUGAACUGCAUUUGAAACUGUCGUUCUUGAGUACUGGAGA
Molecule: ribosomal RNA, 305 nt
Filed under: uncultured bacterium
Lineage: Bacteria
Description: bacterial SSU rRNA
Rfam family: Bacterial small subunit ribosomal RNA
Source: RNAcentral